RNAcentral lists this ribosomal RNA (716 nucleotides) under uncultured bacterium. RNAcentral's name for it is "bacterial SSU rRNA". It matches the Rfam family "Bacterial small subunit ribosomal RNA", at positions 87 to 798 of the family's 1533-position model. The record is from RNAcentral.
GCCGGCGACCGGCGUACGGGUGAGUAACACGUAUGAAACCUGCCCGUAGCAGGGGGAUAAGCGGAAGAAAUUCCGUCUAAUACCGCGUAACAACCCAUGGAGGCAUCUCCGUGGGUUUAAAGGAAGCGAUUCCGGCUACGGAUGGUCAUGCGUCGCAUUAGCUUGUUGGCGGGGUAACGGCCCACCAAGGCGACAAUGCGUAGGGGUUCUGAGAGGAAGGUCCCCCACACUGGUACUGAGACACGGACCAGACUCCUACGGGAGGCAGCAGUGAGGAAUAUUGGUCAAUGGCCGCAGGGCUGAACCAGCCAAGUCGCGUGAGGGAUGACGGUCCCAUGGAUUGUAAACCUCUUUUGUCAGGGAGCAAAGGGCGCCACGUGUGGCGUUUUGCGAGUACCUGAAGAAAAAGCAUCGGCUAACUCCGUGCCAGCAGCCGCGGUAAUACGGAGGAUGCGAGCGUUAUCCGGAUUUAUUGGGUUUAAAGGGUGCGCAGGCGGAAUGUCAAGUCAGCGGUAAAAUUUCGGGGCUCAACCCCGUCGUGCCGUUGAAACUGGCGUUCUUGAGUGAGCGAGAAGUAUGCGGAAUGCGUGGUGUAGCGGUGAAAUGCAUAGAUAUCACGCAGAACUCCGAUUGCGAAGGCAGCAUACCGGCGCUCAACUGACGCUCAUGCACGAAAGCGUGGGUAUCGAACAGGAUUAGAUACCCUGGUAGUCCAC